AAUCAACGCUGGCGGCGUGCCUAACACAUGCAAGUCGAACGAGAUAGUGACUUCGGUCACUGGAAAGUGGCGUCCGGGUGAGUAACACGUGGGUAAUCUACCCUCGGGUGGGGAAUAACGGAUCGAAAGAUUCGCUAAUACCGCAUAAUGCAGCGGCACCUAAUGGUGAAUAGUUGUUAAAGCGGGGGAUCGCAAGACCUCGCGCCUGAGAGGAGCCUGCGGCAGAUAGCUAGUUGGCGAGGUAAUGGCUCACCAAGGCUGCGAUCUGUAGCUGGUCUGAGAGGAC
This 286-nucleotide ribosomal RNA is filed under the name uncultured bacterium. RNAcentral's name for it is "partial 16S ribosomal RNA". It matches the Rfam family "Bacterial small subunit ribosomal RNA", at positions 32 to 301 of the family's 1533-position model. The record is from RNAcentral.